CCUACGGGAGGCAGCAGUGGGGAAUAUUGCACAAUGGGGGAAACCCUGAUGCAGCGACGCCGCGUGAGUGAAGAAGUAUCUCGGUACGUAAAGCUCUAUUAGCAGGGAAGAAAAUGCCGGUACCUGACUAAGAAGCCCCGGCUAACUACGUGCCAACAGUCGCGGUAAUACGUAGGGGGCAAGCGUUAACCGGAUUUACUGGGUGUAAAGGGAGCGUUGACGGGAGCACAAGUCUCGAGUGAAAUCCCGGGGCUUAACCCCGGAACUGCUUUGGAAACUGUGCGGCUGGAGUGCAGGAGGGGUAGGCGGAAUGCCUGGUGUAGCGGUGAAAUGCGUAGAUAUUAGGAAGAACACCGGUGGCGAAGGCGGCUUACUGGACUGUAACUGACGUUGAGGCUCGAAAGCGUGGGGAGCAAACAGGAUUAGAUACCCCAGUAGUC
RNAcentral lists this ribosomal RNA (440 nucleotides) under uncultured bacterium. Its description in RNAcentral is "partial 16S ribosomal RNA". It matches the Rfam family "Bacterial small subunit ribosomal RNA", at positions 338 to 795 of the family's 1533-position model. The record is from RNAcentral.